RNAcentral lists this long non-coding RNA (545 nucleotides) under Pan troglodytes (chimpanzee). RNAcentral's name for it is "lincRNA". The record is from RNAcentral. Lineage: Eukaryota; Metazoa; Chordata; Mammalia; Primates; Hominidae.
GCUGCGGGGGCCAUUGAUACAGAGGCUUGCUGCGCUCGGUGUGCGCGGCCCGGCCGGGCCUCUGGAAACGCCCAUGAGAAAUGAGCUCAUGCUGGAUGCGCGCGCUCCUUGGGCGCAACUGCCCAGCGCAAAACGGGCCCCGAAAGCAGGGUCUCACUUUGUCCUCCAGGAUGGAGUGCUGCGGCCUCAACCUCCUGGGUUCAAGGGAUCCUGCUGCCUCAGCCCCCCAAGUAGCUAGGACUACAAGGGUGCACCACCACACCCAGCUAAUUUUUGUAUUUUUUGUAUAAAUGGGGUUUCGCCAUGUUGCCCAGACUGGUCUCAAACUCCUGGGCUCAAAAUCUGCGUGCCAUGGCUUCUCAAAACGCUAGGAUUACUGGCGUGAGUCACCAUGCCUGGCCUAUAAUUUGUUAAUAUGGUUGUUACUACAAAGUUUAAAAUAAAUUGCCCAUGCAUUCCUAUUUAUAAUAGGUGAGUGGAGGACACUUCAAUCUAAAGUGAUCUUAAAGGAGGAGUAGUAGGAUUUGAAGAUGAAGAAAGAAGAG